Molecule: ribosomal RNA, 500 nt
Filed under: uncultured Glomeromycotina
Lineage: Eukaryota; Fungi; Glomeromycota
Description: partial small subunit ribosomal RNA
Rfam family: Eukaryotic small subunit ribosomal RNA
Source: RNAcentral
CCAAUAGCGUAUAUUAAAGUUGUUGCAGUUAAAAAGCUCGUAGUUGAACUUCAGGCCUGUCCAGAUGGUCCGCCUUAAUUGGUGUGUACUGUCCUUGGGUGGGUCCUACCUUCUGGCGAAGCGGCAUGGCCUUAGUUGGUUGUGUCGGGGAACCAGGACUUUUACUGUGAAAAAAUUAGGGUGUUCAAAGCAGGCAAAUAUGCUCGAAUACAUUAGCAUGGAAUAAUGGAAUAGGACGAUGGUUCUAUUUUGUUGGUUCUAGGACCGUUGUAAUGAUUAAUAGGGAUAGUUGGGGGCAUUAGUAUUCAAUUGUCAGAGGUGAAAUUCUUGGAUUUAUUGAAGACUAACUACUGCGAAAGCAUUUGCCAAGGAUGUUUUCAUUAAUCAAGAACGAAAGUUAGGGGAUCGAAGACGAUCAGAUACCGUCGUAGUCUUAACCAUAAACUAUGCCGACUAGGAAUCGGGCGAUGUUGACAAAAUGACUCGCUCGGCACCUCAUG